AAUAUUGCACAAUGGGCGCAAGCCUGAUGCAGCCAUGCCGCGUGUAUGAAGAAGGCCUUCGGGUUGUAAAGUACUUUCAGCAGUGAGGAAGGUGGAUAUGUUAAUAGCAUAUUCAUUUGACGUUAGCUGCAGAAGAAGCACCGGCUAACUCCGUGCCAGCAGCCGCGGUAAUACGGAGGGUGCGAGCGUUAAUCGGAAUUACUGGGCGUAAAGCGCAUGCAGGUGGUUUGUUAAGUCAGAUGUAGAAACGACCCGGAGCUACAACCUACGGAAUUGCUAUUUAGAAACUGGACAAACUAGAGUACUGUAGAGGGGGUAGAAUUUCAGGUGUAGCGGUGAAAUGCGUAGAGAUCUGAAGGAAUACCGGUGGCGAAGGCGGCCCCCUGGACAGAUACUGACACUCAGAUGCGAAAGCGUGGGGAGCAAACAGGAUUAGAUACCCUGGUAG
Molecule: ribosomal RNA, 448 nt
Filed under: uncultured bacterium
Lineage: Bacteria
Description: bacterial SSU rRNA
Rfam family: Bacterial small subunit ribosomal RNA
Source: RNAcentral